AGCUCAGUUGGUUAGAGCAUCUGACUGUUAAUCAGAGGGUCCAAGGUUCGAGUCCUUGAGGGG
RNAcentral lists this transfer RNA (63 nucleotides) under Flavobacteriaceae bacterium. RNAcentral describes it as "tRNA-Asn". It matches the Rfam family "tRNA", at positions 9 to 63 of the family's 71-position model. Rfam says of the family: Transfer RNA (tRNA) molecules are approximately 80 nucleotides in length. Their secondary structure includes four short double-helical elements and three loops (D, anti-codon, and T loops). Lineage: Bacteria; Pseudomonadati; Bacteroidota; Flavobacteriia; Flavobacteriales; Flavobacteriaceae. The record is from RNAcentral.